AACGAACGCUGGCGGCAGGCUUAACACAUGCAAGUCGAGCGCAUCCUUCGGGGUGAGCGGCAGACGGGUGAGUAACGCGUGGGAAUCUACCUUUUGCUACGGAAUAGCUCCGGGAAACUGGAAUUAAUACCGUAUGUGCCCUUAGGGGGAAAGAUUUAUCGGCAAGGGAUGAGCCCGCGUUGGAUUAGCUAGUUGGUGGGGUAAAGGCCUACCAAGGCGACGAUCCAUAGCUGGUCUGAGAGGAUGAUCAGCCACAUUGGGACUGAGACACGGCCCAAACUCCUACGGGAGGCAGCAGUGGGGAAUAUUGGACAAUGGGCGCAAGCCUGAACCAGCCAUGCCGCGUGAGUGAUGAAGGCCUUAGGGUUGUAAAGCUCUUUCACCGGAGAAGAUAAUGACGGUAUCCGGAGAAGAAGCCCCGGCUAACUUCGUG
RNAcentral lists this ribosomal RNA (433 nucleotides) under uncultured bacterium. RNAcentral's name for it is "partial 16S ribosomal RNA". It matches the Rfam family "Bacterial small subunit ribosomal RNA", at positions 29 to 507 of the family's 1533-position model. The record is from RNAcentral.